UUUGCUUUUGUUAUUUUUCUAUAUUGUUUCCGUCAACUAUUAUAAUUAUUUUUCAUCUUCAAUUUUGUAUUUAAUAUAAAUUAUAAUUACUACAACAUUUUUUUUUCUUUUAUAAUUUUUUCUUUUUAUGUUUAUUUAUCCUAGUUUUUUUUAUCUAAUUUUGUUAUGUAUUCUGUUAUAUUUUCUUUUAUAUAAAAUUUUAAACCAUUCAUUUUUAUUUAUUUAUUUAUUAUAUUGUAUUUAAAAAUUAUUAUCAAUUUAUAGUUUAAUGUGUCG
Molecule: long non-coding RNA, 276 nt
Filed under: Lathyrus oleraceus (garden pea)
Lineage: Eukaryota; Viridiplantae; Streptophyta; Magnoliopsida; Fabales; Fabaceae
Description: Pisum sativum (pea) long non-coding RNA (PSAT_LNC010200)
Source: RNAcentral